UUCCGUAGGUGAACCUGCGGAAGGAUCAUUGAAUCUAUCAAACCCACACCGCGAACAAUGUUUGUUGUGCUGCCCUUCGCCCCCUCCGGGGGACGAGGUGGCAAAUCCUUAUUCACUCUAAACAAAAACCAACGUCUAAAGCUAUAUGUAGUUGGCACUGCCGACUACUGUAACCAAAGACAACUCUCAACAACGGAUAUCUUGGCUCUUACAACGAUGAAGAACGCAGCGAAAUGCGAUACGUAGUGUGAAUUGCAGAAUUCCGUGAACCAUUGAAUCUUUGAACGCAUAUUGCGCUCGAGCCUUCGGGCAAGAGCACGCCUGCCUCAGGGUCAUGAGCACCUCAUCCCCCCCACCCCUGUGUGGACGGGAAUGGACCUGGCAGUCUCACUGAGCGCAAGCCCGGUGGGUCUGCUGAAGUGCAGAAGACUAAGCAAACCGUCGGCCACCUCACGGUGGUCUCAGGCGAGUGCCGGUAGAUAACCCUCGGGUUGUAUUAGCACGCGUCUAAAUGGCUUGCUAUGGUCUAAAGCAGGAAGCUUUCUCACAUUUGACCUGAGUUCAGACGAGACUACCCGCCGAACUUAAGCAUAUCAA
RNAcentral lists this ribosomal RNA (597 nucleotides) under uncultured eukaryote. RNAcentral's name for it is "eukaryotic LSU rRNA". The stretch from base 182 to 335 matches the Rfam family "5.8S ribosomal RNA". The record is from RNAcentral.